Molecule: transfer RNA, 59 nt
Filed under: Triticum aestivum (bread wheat)
Lineage: Eukaryota; Viridiplantae; Streptophyta; Magnoliopsida; Poales; Poaceae
Rfam family: tRNA
About the family: Transfer RNA (tRNA) molecules are approximately 80 nucleotides in length. Their secondary structure includes four short double-helical elements and three loops (D, anti-codon, and T loops). Further hydrogen bonds mediate the characteristic L-shaped molecular structure. tRNAs have two regions of fundamental functional importance: the anti-codon, which is responsible for specific mRNA codon recognition, and the 3' end, to which the tRNAs corresponding amino acid is attached (by aminoacyl-tRNA synthetases). tRNAs cope with the degeneracy of the genetic code in two manners: having more than one tRNA (with a specific anti-codon) for a particular amino acid; and 'wobble' base-pairing, i.e. permitting non-standard base-pairing at the 3rd anti-codon position.
Source: Rfam by way of RNAcentral
AUAGCUCAGUGGUAGAGCAAUUGACUGCAGAUCAAUAGGUCACCGGUUCGCACCCGGUU